AACGUAGGUACCGAGCGUUAUCCGGAUUUACUGGGCGUAAAGGGUGCGUAGGUGGUAAGGCAAGUCAGGUGUGAAAUCUCCGGGCUCAACCCGGAAAUGGCAUUCGAAACUACCUUGCUAGAGGGUUUGAGGGGGGACUGGAAUACUUGGUGUAGCAGUGAAAUGCGUAGAUAUCAAGUGGAACACCAGUGGCGAAGGCGAGUCCCUGGAAAACUCCUGACACUGAGGCACGAAAGCUAGGGGAGCAAACAGG
This 253-nucleotide ribosomal RNA is filed under the name uncultured bacterium. Its description in RNAcentral is "partial 16S ribosomal RNA". It matches the Rfam family "Bacterial small subunit ribosomal RNA", at positions 524 to 776 of the family's 1533-position model. The record is from RNAcentral.